This 235-nucleotide ribosomal RNA is filed under the name uncultured bacterium. RNAcentral's name for it is "partial 16S ribosomal RNA". It matches the Rfam family "Bacterial small subunit ribosomal RNA", at positions 99 to 334 of the family's 1533-position model. The record is from RNAcentral.
CGGACGGGUGAGUAACGCGUGGGUAACCUGCCUUAUACAGGGGGAUAACAGUUAGAAAUGACUGCUAAUACCGCAUAAGCGCACGGUCUCGCAUGAGAUAGUGUGAAAAACUCCGGUGGUAUAAGAUGGACCCGCGUCUGAUUAGCUAGUUGGUGGGGUAACGGCUCACCAAGGCGACGAUCAGUAGCCGACCUGAGAGGGUGACCGGCCACAUUGGGACUGAGACACGGCCCAA